AGCGGGGAGGAAGGUGUUGUGGUUAAUAACCACAGCAAUUGACGUUACCCGCAGAAGAAGCACCGGCUAACUCCGUGCCAGCAGCCGCGGUAAUACGGAGGGUGCAAGCGUUAAUCGGAAUUACUGGGCGUAAAGCG
RNAcentral lists this ribosomal RNA (137 nucleotides) under Cronobacter sakazakii 696. RNAcentral's name for it is "Small Subunit Ribosomal RNA; ssuRNA; SSU rRNA". It matches the Rfam family "Bacterial small subunit ribosomal RNA", at positions 438 to 567 of the family's 1533-position model. The record is from RNAcentral. Lineage: Bacteria; Pseudomonadati; Pseudomonadota; Gammaproteobacteria; Enterobacterales; Enterobacteriaceae.